Molecule: ribosomal RNA, 433 nt
Filed under: uncultured bacterium
Lineage: Bacteria
Description: partial 16S ribosomal RNA
Rfam family: Bacterial small subunit ribosomal RNA
Source: RNAcentral
AACGAACGCUGGCGGCAUGCCUAACACAUGCAAGUCGAACGAGACCUUCGGGUCUAGUGGCGCACGGGUGCGUAACGCGUGGGAACCUGCCUUUAGGUUCGGAAUAACUCAGAGAAAUUUGAGCUAAUACCGGAUGAUGUCUUCGGACCAAAGAUUUAUCGCCUUUAGAUGGGCCCGCGUUGGUUUAGCUAGUUGGUGGGGUAAAGGCCUACCAAGGCGACGAUCCAUAGCUGGUCUGAGAGGAUGAUCAGCCACACUGGGACUGAGACACGGCCCAGACUCCUACGGGAGGCAGCAGUGGGGAAUAUUGGACAAUGGGCGAAAGCCUGAUCCAGCAAUGCCGCGUGAGUGAUGAAGGCCUUAGGGUUGUAAAGCUCUUUUACCCGAGAUGAUAAUGACAGUAUCGGGAGAAUAAGCUCCGGCUAACUCCGUG